Molecule: ribosomal RNA, 460 nt
Filed under: uncultured bacterium
Lineage: Bacteria
Description: partial 16S ribosomal RNA
Rfam family: Bacterial small subunit ribosomal RNA
Source: RNAcentral
CCUACGGGAGGCAGCAGUGAGGAAUAUUGGUCAAUGGGCGCGAGCCUGAACCAGCCAAGUAGCGUGAAGGAUGACUGCCCUACGGGUUGUAAACUUCUUUUAUAAGGGAGUAAAGUAUGGCAUGUAUACCUUUUUGUAUGUACUUUAUGAAUAAGGAUCGGCUAACUCCGUGCCAGCCGCCGCGGUAAUACGGAGGAUCCGAGCGUUAUCCGGAUUUCUUGGGUUUAAAGGGAGCGUAGAUGGGUUGUUAAGUCAGUUGUGAAAGUUUGCGGCUCAACCGUAAAAUUGCAAUUGAUACUGGCAGCCUUGAGUACAGUUGAGGUAGGCGGAAUUCGUGGUGUAGCGGUGAAAUGCUUAGAUAUCACGAAGAACUCCGAUUGCGAAGGCAGCCUACUAAACUGCCACUGACAUUGAUGCUCGAAAGUGUGGGUAUCAAACAGGAUUAGAUACCCUUGUAGUC